AAUGGGUCAGCGACUUAUAUUCUGUAGCAAGGUUAACCGAAUAGGGGAGCCGAAGGGAAACCGAGUCUUAACUGGGCGUUAAGUUGCAGGGUAUAGACCCGAAACCCGGUGAUCUAGCCAUGGGCAGGUUGAAGGUUGGGUAACACUAACUGGAGGACCGAACCGACUAAUGUUGAAAAAUUAGCGGAUGACUUGUGGCUGGGGGUGAAAGGCCAAUCAAACCGGGAGAUAGCUGGUUCUCCCCGAAAGCUAUUUAGGUAGCGCCUCGUGAACUCAUCUCCGGGGGUAGAGCACUGUUUCGGCAAGGGGGUCAUCCCGACUUACCAACCCGAUGCAAACUGCGAAUACCGGAGAAUGUUAUCACGGGAGACACACGGCGGGUGCUAACGUCCGUCGUGAAGAGGGAAACAACCCAGACCGCCAGCUAAGGUCCCAAAGUCAUGGUUAAGUGGGAAACGAUGUGGGAAGGCCCAGACAGCCAGGAUGUUGGCUUAGAAGCAGCCAUCAUUUAAAGAAAGCGUAAUAGCUCACUGGUCGAGUCGGCCUGCGCGGAAGAUGUAACGGGGCUAAACCAUGCACCGAAGCUGCGGCAGCGACGCUUAUGCGUUGUUGGGUAGGGGAGCGUUCUGUAAGCCUGCGAAGGUGUGCUGUGAGGCAUGCUGGAGGUAUCAGAAGUGCGAAUGCUGACAUAAGUAACGAUAAAGCGGGUGAAAAGCCCGCUCGCCGGAAGACCAAGGGUUCCUGUCCAACGUUAAUCGGGGCAGGGUGAGUCGACCCCUAAGGCGAGGCCGAAAGGCGUAGUCGAUGGGAAACAGGUUAAUAUUCCUGUACUUGGUGUUACUGCGAAGGGGGGACGGAGAAGGCUAUGUUGGCCGGGCGACGGUUGUCCCGGUUUAAGCGUGUAGGCUGGUUUUCCAGGCAAAUCCGGAAAAUCAAGGCUGAGGCGUGAUGACGAGGCACUACGGUGCUGAAGCAACAAAUGCCCUGCUUCCAGGAAAAGCCUCUAAGCAUCAGGUAACAUCAAAUCGUACCCCAAACCGACACAGGUGGUCAGGUAGAGAAUACCAAGGCGCUUGAGAGAACUCGGGUGAAGGAACUAGGCAAAAUGGUGCCGUAACUUCGGGAGAAGGCACGCUGAUAUGUAGGUGAAGCGACUU
RNAcentral lists this ribosomal RNA (1157 nucleotides) under Escherichia coli. Its description in RNAcentral is "partial 23S ribosomal RNA". It matches the Rfam family "Bacterial large subunit ribosomal RNA", at positions 614 to 1771 of the family's 2925-position model. Lineage: Bacteria; Pseudomonadati; Pseudomonadota; Gammaproteobacteria; Enterobacterales; Enterobacteriaceae. The record is from RNAcentral.